CCCUCAGACUUACUUUAUCGGGAGUUGGGGCUAAGAGGCCUCCUCAGUCCUACAGGCUGUGAUGAGCAGGCGACUUCCUUCUGUAGGAGGGAGGAGAGGUGCCUCAUUACUUCCCUUUCUUCUCCGGAUAGCUCGGGCUGCCUCCUGCAGUGAGGAAAACCCAGAUCUAAGGGUCGUUUUCAGACUCCAGGCAGUUGCCAGUCGUUCAGCAGCCUCUAGCUCCCCCUAAGCAAACUACCACGUUCUCAAUGGAGGCACAGACAAGUACCAUUUUUGAAGCGGUCUAAAAACAGGAGUAUGGCUUUUGAGAAGAGCUAAAAGAGGACCUAGAAGAAAUGCCACGUUCUUGGUACAAAGAGGUAGUUUGUGGUAAGAAGCUUAACAUUUAGAAUUUCAAGGUGUACAGAAACAUCGAAAGCGGUUAUUCAAAUGCAGCUCCAAGAAGUUAGCGGAAGCUGGGCAUGGUGGUACGUGUUUAUAACCCCAACAUAGAAGAGGUGGAGGCAGGGGGAUCCGGAGUUUAAGGUCAUUCUCCACCACAGAGCAAGUUGGAAGACUACCUGGGCUCCAUGAGACUAGGUUCUAGGUGCUCCCAACCCCCAACAGGAGAAGAAGGCAGGAGCAUAAAUUCAAGCAAAUCAGAGAACUCUUAACGUAGAAAAGGCAGUUCCAUGAUCGACUCUGUUACCAAAGACUUAACAUGUCCACCACAGUGUUAUUUAUUGUGGCAAAUUUUUUGGAAAUAGUUUUAUUGCCUGAUAACUAAAUGAUAAAUAAAUUAUGAUACAAUGAAGUUGAGUAACUGU
Long non-coding RNA from Rattus rattus (black rat), 806 nucleotides. RefSeq lists it as uncharacterized. The record is from RefSeq and is a predicted model, not a curated record. The transcript has 2 exons. NCBI's taxonomy places the organism in Eukaryota, Metazoa, Chordata, Mammalia, Rodentia, Muridae.